Molecule: unclassified non-coding RNA, 328 nt
Filed under: soil metagenome
Description: partial contains 5.8S ribosomal RNA, internal transcribed spacer 2, and large subunit ribosomal RNA
Rfam family: 5.8S ribosomal RNA (bases 4-119)
Source: RNAcentral
GAUAAGAACGUAGCGAAAUGCGAUAAGUAAUGUGAAUUGCAGAAUUCAGUGAAUCAUCGAAUCUUUGAACGCACAUUGCGCCCCCUGGUAUUCCGGGGGGCAUGCCUGUCCGAGCGUCAUUACAACCCUCAAGCUCAGCUUGGUAUUGGGCCCCGCCGCUCCGGCGGGCCCUAAAGUCAGUGGCGGUGCCGUCCGGCUCCGAGCGUAGUAAUUCUUCUCGCUCUGGAGGUCCGGUCGUGUGCUCGCCAGCAACCCCCAAUUUUUUUCAGGUUGACCUCGGAUCAGGUAGGGAUACCCGCUGAACUUAAGCAUAUCAAUAAGCGGAGGA